This 404-nucleotide ribosomal RNA is filed under the name Actinomycetes bacterium. RNAcentral's name for it is "Actinobacteria bacterium partial 16S ribosomal RNA". It matches the Rfam family "Bacterial small subunit ribosomal RNA", at positions 355 to 776 of the family's 1533-position model. The record is from RNAcentral. Lineage: Bacteria; Bacillati; Actinomycetota; Actinomycetes.
UGGGGAAUAUUGGACAAUGGGCGCAAGCCUGAUCCAGCCAUGCCGCGUGAGUGAUGAAUGCCCUAGGGUUGUAAAGCUCUUUCACCGGUGAAGAUAAUGACGGUAACCGGAGAAGAAGCCCCGGCUAACUUCGUGCCAGCAGCCGCGGUAAUACGAAGGGGGCUAGCGUUGUUCGGAUUUACUGGGCGUAAAGCGCACGUAGGCGGACUUUUAAGUCAGGGGUGAAAUCCCGGGGCUCAACCCCGGAACUGCCUUUGAUACUGGAAGUCUUGAGUAUGGUAGAGGUGAGUGGAAUUCCGAGUGUAGAGGUGAAAUUCGUAGAUAUUCGGAGGAAAACCAGUGGCGAAGGCGGCUCACUGGACCAUUACUGACGCUGAGGUGCGAAAGCGUGGGGAGCAAACAGG